Molecule: long non-coding RNA, 624 nt
Filed under: Eucalyptus grandis
Lineage: Eukaryota; Viridiplantae; Streptophyta; Magnoliopsida; Myrtales; Myrtaceae
Description: long non-coding RNA (EGRA_LNC005035)
Source: RNAcentral
GAUCGUCGGUCCACUGCCGUCCGAAAUGAAGAAAUUUUGUGUCGUUAUCAAACGAAUUUCUAUUUUUAGAGUAGAAAUUUUGUGUCGUUAUCAAACGGUUAUUUUUGCUUAGAAACUCUUCUAGAAAUAAAAAUAGAAAAAUCUAUUUCUGUUUUAGAAACUAUUUCUGGAACAAAAUGGUUGUCAUGCACCCCCUUAAAUGCACUUGAGAUUGGAAUUCUUUGUUAGCGGGGUCCCUCCCUUUUUCCACCACACAUGUCACUUUUGUUGGGCUGGCAAGAAUCAAUGGUACCAUGGAAACUUCCCAAGGGGAUGCUUUUUGGUUUUUCCGGUACUAGUAUCUGGAAAGGGUUCUCUUUUGUUUGAUUGUGCAAUUUGGCUGGUCUAUUAUUUGAAGGUCCACUCUAGAUUCAAGCUUGCACUGCAGUAACUAGCUAACUUGUAAUAUGCUUGGGUACCUUGCGCCUUAUUGAAGCAUUUGGGAUGAGCUGAUAGGUUUCUCGUCAGUAGUUUGGUUAAUUAUAGGCAAUAUAUGUCUCUUCGACCUCGUGUGGUCAUAUAUAGAAGAUUCGUUGCUUUUACAUUUUCUGUGGAAAAUUGUUGUAGUUCCAUUUCAAAUUUGCC